UCGAUACCCCUUGGGUGCCGAAGUUAACACAUUAAGCAUUCCGCCUGGGGAGUACGGUCGCAAGACUGAAACUCAAAGGAAUUGACGGGGACCCGCACAAGCAGUGGAGUAUGUGGUUUAAUUCGAAGCAACGCGAAGAACCUUACCAGGUCUUGACAUCCCUCUGACCGUCCUAGAGAUAGGGCUUUCCUUCGGGACAGAGGAGACAGGUGGUGCAUGGUUGUCGUCAGCUCGUGUCGUGAGAUGUUGGGUUAAGUCCCGCAACGAGCGCAACCCUUGAUCUUAGUUGCCAGCACUUNGGGUGGGCACUCUAGGAUGACUGCCGGUGACAAACCGGAGGAAGGUGGGGAUGACGUCAAAUCAUCAUGCCCCUUAUGACCUGGGCUACACACGUACUACAAUGGCCGAUACAACGGGAAGCGAAACCGCGAGGUGGAGCCAAUCCUAUCAAAGUCGGUCUCAGUUCGGAUUGCAGGCUGCAACUCGCCUGCAUGAAGUCGGAAUUGCUAGUAAUCGCGGAUCAGCAUGCCGCGGUGAAU
This 539-nucleotide ribosomal RNA is filed under the name uncultured bacterium. RNAcentral describes it as "bacterial SSU rRNA". It matches the Rfam family "Bacterial small subunit ribosomal RNA", at positions 830 to 1367 of the family's 1533-position model. The record is from RNAcentral.